RNAcentral lists this ribosomal RNA (497 nucleotides) under uncultured bacterium. RNAcentral describes it as "partial 16S ribosomal RNA". It matches the Rfam family "Bacterial small subunit ribosomal RNA", at positions 28 to 507 of the family's 1533-position model. The record is from RNAcentral.
GACGAACGCUGGCGGCGUGCCUAAUACAUGCAAGUUGAGCGCUGAAGGUUGGUACUUGUACCAACUGGAUGAGCAGCGAACGGGUGAGUAACGCGUGGGGAAUCUGCCUUUGAGCGGGGGACAAAAUUUGGAAACGAAUGCUAAUACCGCAUAAAAACUUUAAACACAAGUUUUAAGCUUGAAAGAUGCAAUUGCAUCACUCAAAGAUGAUCCCGCGUUGUAUUAGCUAGCUGGUGAGGUAAAGGCUCACCAAGGCGAUGAUACAUAGCCGACCUGAGAGGGGAAUCGGCCACAUUGGUACGGGGACACGACCCACACUCCUACGAGAGGCAGCAGUAGGGAAUCUUCGGCAAUGGACGAAAGUCUGACCGAGCAACGCCGCGUGAGUGAAGAAGGUUUUCGGGUCGUAAAACUCUGUUGGUAGAGAAGAACGUUGGUGAGAGUGGAAAGCUCAUCAAGUGACGGUAACUACCCAGAAAGGGACGGCUAACUACGUG